This 253-nucleotide ribosomal RNA is filed under the name uncultured bacterium. RNAcentral describes it as "partial 16S ribosomal RNA". It matches the Rfam family "Bacterial small subunit ribosomal RNA", at positions 524 to 776 of the family's 1533-position model. The record is from RNAcentral.
UACGUAGGAUGCAAGCGUUGUCCGGAUUUAUUGGGUUUAAAGGGUGCGUAGGCGGCCUAUUAAGUUAGUGGUGAAAACGUUCGGCUUAACCGGAUACCCGCCAUUGAUACUGAUAGACUUGAGUGCGACAGAGGGUGUUGGAAUGUGUGGUGUAGCGGUGAAAUGCUUAGAGAUCACGCAGAACACCAAUUGCGAAGGCAGAUGCCUAUGUCGUAACUGACGAUGAGGCACGAAAGAGUGGGGAGCAAGCAGG